This 524-nucleotide long non-coding RNA is filed under the name Rattus norvegicus (Norway rat). RNAcentral's name for it is "long non-coding RNA NONRATT011264". The record is from RNAcentral. Lineage: Eukaryota; Metazoa; Chordata; Mammalia; Rodentia; Muridae.
CAUCCGACGAUACUAAAAAGAAGAUGUAUAGCUCUAUCCUGGUGGUGGGAGGCGGUUUGAUGUUUCAUAAAGCUCAAGAGUUUCUCCAGCACAGAAUUCUCAACAAAAUGCCACCUUCAUUCAGGCGAAUUAUUGAAAAUGUGGAUGUGAUCACAAGGCCCAAGACGUAAAUCCUGGUUUAUUUGCUGUUGACUGAGCAGGGGUCCCAACCCCACAUGCAGAGGAGAUGUUGUCUGUGUCUUACCUGCCUUUGCUGAAACACCGCUCUCUGUGUAGGACAUGGAUCCCCGGCUGAUUUCGUGGAAGGGGGGUGCAGUGUUGGCGUGUUUGGACACCACUCAGGAACUGUGGAUUUACCAGCGAGAGUGGCAACGCUUUGGUGUCCGAAUGCUACGGGAACGAGCUGCCUUUGUGUGGUGAAAACCACAACCAUGUCUCUGGACAUAAAGACUUAAAGAGUGUAUGUAUUUUAAGUUAUUGAGCUUGAAGCUUGAUUUUCCUAGAAUUAAAUUAAUUCAAUUUUA